GAAAAAAAUAACGAUGAGAUCAUAGUCACUAACAGAUUAUCUUGCUAUGAGUGUGAACGGAUAACGAGCUUAAUGUGAUUGCUCCAGAAUGAAAAAAGGAUAAAAGAAGGUUUAAUAAGGUAGGUUUAGGCAUGACAACAUGAUUCAGAUUGGUUUGUAUAGGAGGGAGACUUAUGGAUGCAACUUUGCGACUGUGUGUUCUAACGAAAC
Molecule: long non-coding RNA, 210 nt
Filed under: Lathyrus oleraceus (garden pea)
Lineage: Eukaryota; Viridiplantae; Streptophyta; Magnoliopsida; Fabales; Fabaceae
Description: Pisum sativum (pea) long non-coding RNA (PSAT_LNC025414)
Source: RNAcentral